UUGGGUCUUGGAAGUCGUCGUUAUC
This 25-nucleotide non-coding RNA is filed under the name Mus musculus (house mouse). Lineage: Eukaryota; Metazoa; Chordata; Mammalia; Rodentia; Muridae. The record is from RNAcentral.